AUGGCUGCCAAAGCUUCUUCAAACUUUGCCUCUAAAAAGAAUCUUAGUAAUGGUUCUUUCUUGAGACAAGGUCAAUUAAUGAAAGAGGAAGAAGAUGUUAAAGGGUAUGGUGAUUGGAGUAAGAAAUUGCUUGCAAAAUCAAAUUUUGAAAUGUAUGAGAAGUCUUCUUAUACAUCAACUGGUGACAUAGUUUAUACCAUGAAUAUGUUAGGCUUCCGAAGUGUUUAUUGUCGUAUUCUCAAUGUUGAUGGUCAAAUCUCUUAA
Non-coding RNA from Vicia faba (fava bean), 264 nucleotides. Lineage: Eukaryota; Viridiplantae; Streptophyta; Magnoliopsida; Fabales; Fabaceae. The record is from the annotation of a GenBank genome assembly.